This 770-nucleotide long non-coding RNA is filed under the name Pelobates cultripes (western spadefoot toad). Lineage: Eukaryota; Metazoa; Chordata; Amphibia; Anura; Pelobatidae. The record is from RNAcentral.
CUGACAUCAUUUUUUAAUUCUAGGGAUAGCACACCCAUAGAUGUGAAGCAGAAACAAAGAGCUGUCUUGGCCAAAGACAGACAAACUGUUGCUGACAUCCACCAAACUCAGAACUGUGUAUGGUGAGGGACAGUUGAUAUAAGCAAUGUGUGAAGAUGGGUGAAAAAGUUUAAAUAAGGCAAAACAAGUGUUGGAGACAAACUGCAAGACUAUCGACACCAGUCACGGAUAAAAACCAAACCGGUGGAUAAAUUGAUUCACACAGACUGACGGAUAACUGACAGAGAGAUUGUGGCGGAACCUGACUGUGGUCAAAUUGCUGACUUAAAAAAAAAGCAAUCUGUAAGAAAAGACCACGGGAAACAGCUGAAUGCAAUCCAGCUAUGCCAUGAAUAAUGCAUAAGUUCACACUUCUUUGGCAACAUCGCAGGUUUUUCCAAAAACAAGAUGGUCACAUCCACCUUACAGCCCUGAUUUCGCACUCUCAGACUUCGAUUUGUUUAGUCAAAUUAAGGAAAGUCUUCGGAAUGGCGCUUCAAUGAUACAGGUGAAUUGAAAGACGCUAUCAGAUAAUGAGUGAGGGGGUGCCCCAAAGACGUCUUCCAAAUUGGCUUUGAAUAAAAUGGUUUUAAUGAUGCCGCAAAUGCAUAACCACUAGAGGAGACUAUUUUGAAUAGCACUAUGUUGUAGAUAAAGAGUUACUCUAUAUGUGUAUAUAGUUUUUCAUUUAUUUUUUGUCUUGUACAUAAAGGACUAAUGACCUGACAGGC